GAGUGCAAACACCUUUCUCUGGGUUCUUAUGUGAACACAAGCAGCCCCUCAGCUCUCUGGCCCAACUGCAGCGAAGCAGGCGCAUCCUUGGCUGUCCGCGCCUGGCGUGGGGUCGGGGGGAGAGCUGAAGAGCUGGGCGCCCUUCCUUCUCGCAUUGUCCUGUGUCUUGCGCACCUUGACCCAGAGGCCUAGACAAUAAAGGCAGCGGUUCCCAAACAUGGAGCAUCAGGCUUGGGGUUCUGAGGCCCCAGCUGCCUCAUCUGCUGCUCUCCUCGCCUUCACUCUACCCUGACUCCCACCUCGUCCUCCUUCCCAUCUCAGCUUAAUGACCUCGACUCCGCCAUCUAGGUCUAAACGCUUGCCUAGUUCCUAAUCCUGUCCUUCCCAGCACUUAAUGUGGCAGGCGUGAUAUAUUCAUCUGCGAUUUCAUUUGCCUGAUGUCUGACUCUCUCCAAAAACAAUGGCUGCCACAUUUUGAGCAACACAUGUGGGCAUGACAAUAUUUGGCUAAAGAGGAGCAUUUCCUCUUAGUGUCUAUUUUUAUUGUGGAGAAAACAUUUCUGACAAGACCUUCAAUGGACUUCUCCUUAGUCCCAUUGCUCAAGAUGAGGCCACAUUCCACGCCACAGAUAGAAGGGAAUGUGGGAAGGAAGGAUCAUAAUUAGUAAUAUCAGAUGAACCACAAACACUGGAACCAGAUCUUUCCAUCACAAGAAAUUGCUUCAGAGCUUUCCAAUCUAUGCCUUGAGAGGGACAGACCCACCACAGCAACUCAGAAGCGCUAGAAAGUGGACAUUGGUCAAAUAUCCAACAAUUGGACUGAUUUUUGUGUGUAGCAAAGGAAUGUGCCCAUUGCAGAGAAACAUUGUCAUCAGAGGCCCAUUCGGAUGUAGACUGGAAAAAUAAACAUAGUAUUAGGAAAAUCUUAAGUGACAUUUUUUUUUGGUAAUUAACAAUAGUUUUUGUAAUUAGGUUCCAAU
This 980-nucleotide long non-coding RNA is filed under the name Equus asinus (donkey). RNAcentral's name for it is "lncRNA (ENSEASG00005037904.1)". Lineage: Eukaryota; Metazoa; Chordata; Mammalia; Perissodactyla; Equidae. The record is from RNAcentral.